Molecule: ribosomal RNA, 438 nt
Filed under: uncultured bacterium
Lineage: Bacteria
Description: bacterial SSU rRNA
Rfam family: Bacterial small subunit ribosomal RNA
Source: RNAcentral
AACGCGAAGAACCUUACCUGGGCUCGAAGCGCAGUGGACCGGGGUAGAAAUAUCCCUUUUCGCAAGAACCGCUGCGGAGGUGCUGCAUGGCUGUCGUCAGCUCGUGUCGUGAGAUGUUGGGUUAAGUCCCGCAACGAGCGCAACCCUUGUCCUGUGUUGCCAUUCCGCAAGGAGGAACUCGCAGGAGACCGCCAGGGAUAACCUGGAGGAAGGUGGGGAUGACGUCAAGUCCUCAUGGCCUUUAUGUCUAGGGCUACACACGUGCUACAAUGGACGGUACAGAGGGUCGCCAACCCGCGAGGGGGAGCCAAUCCCAAAAAACCGUUCUCAGUUCGGAUUGCAGGCUGCAACUCGCCUGCAUGAAGCUGGAAUCGCUAGUAAUGCCGUAUCAGAACGAUGGCGUGAAUACGUUCCCGGGCCUUGUACACACCGAGUAUA